GGGCGAUUAGCUCAGUUGGUAGAGCGCUUCGUUUACACCGAAGAUGUCGGCGGUUCGAGCCCGUCAUCGCCCA
Mesorhizobium sp. is the source of this 73-nucleotide transfer RNA. It matches the Rfam family "tRNA". Rfam says of the family: Transfer RNA (tRNA) molecules are approximately 80 nucleotides in length. NCBI's taxonomy places the organism in Bacteria, Pseudomonadati, Pseudomonadota, Alphaproteobacteria, Hyphomicrobiales, Phyllobacteriaceae. The record is from Rfam.